CUUGCCUCCUACGGGGCGCAGCAGUAGGGAAUCUUCCACAAUGGGCGAAAGCCUGAUGGAGCAACGCCGCGUGGGUGAAGAAGGUCUUCGGAGCGUAAAACCCUGUUGUUAGAGAAGAAAGUGCGUGUGAGUAACUGUUCACGUUUCGACGGUAUCUAACCAGAAAGCCACGGCUAACUACGUGCCAGCAGCCGCGGUAAUACGUAGGUGGCAAGCGUUAUCCGGAUUUAUUGGGCGUAAAGGGAACGCAGGCGGUCUUUUAAGUCUGAUGUGAAAGCCUUCGGCUUAACCGGAGUAGUGCAUUG
RNAcentral lists this ribosomal RNA (305 nucleotides) under uncultured bacterium. Its description in RNAcentral is "bacterial SSU rRNA". It matches the Rfam family "Bacterial small subunit ribosomal RNA", at positions 331 to 628 of the family's 1533-position model. The record is from RNAcentral.